CGUAGCUUAAUUAAAGCAUCUUGCUUACACCAAGAAAANGUAUGUGAAAACCAUACCGUUUUGA
This 64-nucleotide transfer RNA is filed under the name Engystomops petersi (Peters' dwarf frog). Its description in RNAcentral is "partial tRNA-Val". It matches the Rfam family "tRNA". Rfam says of the family: Transfer RNA (tRNA) molecules are approximately 80 nucleotides in length. Their secondary structure includes four short double-helical elements and three loops (D, anti-codon, and T loops). Lineage: Eukaryota; Metazoa; Chordata; Amphibia; Anura; Leptodactylidae. The record is from RNAcentral.